RNAcentral lists this transfer RNA (68 nucleotides) under Sorex mirabilis (Ussuri shrew). RNAcentral describes it as "tRNA-Asp". Lineage: Eukaryota; Metazoa; Chordata; Mammalia; Eulipotyphla; Soricidae. The record is from RNAcentral.
GAGGUAUUAGUAAAACAUUACAUGACUUUGUCAAAGUCAAAUUACAAGUGAAAAUCUCGUAUACCUCC